UCCGGAGAAUCCGAGACGAAAACGCAACCGAAAAUAUAGCUAACGCGACGGUUAUUCCCCGAGCGGCUUCAUUAUUUUGCGAUCCAACGAGGUCGACUGGACGGUACACUGGGGUAUCCGUAUCAUCGAAAAUUUGGCCAAAAGUUCAUCUUCUUUAAUUUUUCCUCAGCUGUGAAAUUUUCAUUCUUAGGAAAAAUUAAAGCAGGAAUAUUAUAUUUACAAAUUUCAUUUUUGCAUCCUUGAAGUGAUACAUACGUGUAAUAAAUAAAGCUAAAUUUUGAUAAUGGUCUCCUCAGUUCUUAUAUACCGUAUUUUUUUAUUGUUGUAUCAACUACUCUUUUAUGAUAAACAAUAUUUUAAAAUGGACUAUAAUUUAUUCAUGUUUUUUUAAGAAUGUCAUGUAUCACUUAAAAUAUCAUUCUGUUAUAUUUCAGGAUACAUCUCAAUUUUUGUAAAAAAAAUUAAUUGUAAAGAAUGCUUUGUUAUGCUUAUAGUAUAAUCGCUCGAAUUGAAUUUCUUUAGCUAUUGUAAGUAGAAAUGAUAAUAAUGUUACGUAUUUUUUAAACUACUAGAAUCAUUUGGAAUCAAUUUGAUAAUGCGGAAUCAAUUUGCGAUAUAAUGCAAGAGCGAAUGUUUAGAAAAAGAAACGGAAUAUCUUGCAGACUUUCGCCGAACCAAGGAAAUUUUUAAGAAGAACCAUAUCUCGCUUAAAGUAGGAGAGAAGAGGGUUGCAUCAUAAGGAGUUGCAGUGUACUAUUCAAAAUUCUAACAUGUAAAAUAGAUCCUCUGGUUUAUAUAAAAAGAGAGUUUUCUAAUAUAUAUUUGGGCAAAUAUAUGUUAUGAAAAAUUCAUAUGUGACGUUUAAAAUACGUUUUUUCCAAACAAAUACAUAGGUUGCUUGCCGUCAAGUAGGAACACGUGUUGCGAAGAUUCGAGUUUUCGCAGUUCAAAUUACUAAAUCAACCAAUCGAUAUCAAUCUUUUUUAAGGUUAAAAGGUUGUACGUCCAAUCGGUUGUAUAUAAAAUGAUUCCGCAAAAACAAAUAACAGAUAAGAAAUGAUCGAAUGUAAUUAAGUGUGCAUGUCUGUGUACAAAUAUCUUAAAUAUACUUUAUACUUUCAUUAACUAAACAACGCAUGAAAGAAUUAUCGGAUAUAAAUAUGUUGUCACAGAUGGAAUUUCAUUCAAUGAUUUAAUGUAAUGAUUUAUAAUAAUACUAAUUUGGGUCAGUAAGUCGAUCUAUGCUGUUGCGCGAAGUCAGAGUCUUGCGGUUAAUCUAAUUUCCAUAAAAUGGAAAUCGCUAUCGGGCUUCGAUUUUUUCCUGGAAGUAUCUUUAAAAAAAAAAAAAACAUUUAUUGCAAAUCAGCAACGAUUCAACGUACGAAACAGUUACGAAAUAACCAGGAACAAAAAUUCGUCUGUACGACGAGACUUCGUCGGUAUUCCCGUGACAUUGAGGCGUUUGAAGAUCUCUACGAAGAUUCCAUUUUUUUUCUCUCUUACAGCGUUAUUAAUAGACACAAGUUGUUCGUCGCAUAAUUCUCAAUAGAUUGACUGGCUAGAACCAGUGUGAGAAAAAAAGAAAAUGAUACUCUGCAAUAAUGUGCACGUAUACCAAAUUUUCCUGGAAUGUUGGAAUACGUUUACAUAUAGUAGAGAAAUAUUUUCAGUGGAUCCACUAAUGUGUCCAAUUCGUACGUUCUACCCUGUAUACAUAUAAUGUUUCCAUCGCAUUCGUCCAGACAAAAUGCAAUAUUCGGAAAAGCUUCUCACAUUGGCGGCGCCUAUGGACUCGUUUAUUUAUAGUACGCCACGAUGUCUCGACACCGGAGUGUAAACAUGUCGGUACUACCAUGGACUUCAUUUUAUUUUACGAUGUACUUUUCUCUCCUUUUUUCUCUUAUGCGCCUUCUUUUUUUCUUUUUCUUUCAAUUACGUCUCUACACUGGGAAGAACGCGCUUUUUAUCAUAACCGCAAUCCGUGAAACUCCUGGGGAUUACUAAUAACUGAUUCGAGGAACUGUGAUCGCGCAAACCUCGCCGAGCUUUGAUUUUAUAUCGGCUCUUUCGAAACAUUCUGUUUCCUGUGGAGAAAUUGAAAAAUCAACGAAUAAAGUAAACGAAGAAGGAAAAAGGCAACAAUGAUAAAGAAUAAAGAUUAUUUCGGUUCUGAUGUUAAUUAAGGAAGUUGUGGUAUUUUAAUCAGUCUAUUUCAUAAAUUUAGACGAAAAAUGUAAGGAUUACAUAUCUGUGGUUCACUUUAAUCGUUCUUUCAUUCUUUAUGCCGAAGAGUUGAAAAAUUCCUCAGUAACUUCCGAACUUGUUCUUCCAAUUGCGAGUCACUUUGUUUUUUAGCUUGAAUAUGGCCUAUAGUACUCGCAAGAUGAAUCACUGACCUAUCAUAAGAAUUGUGAUAAAGACUCAAUCGGAAUAACAAAUGGAAUUUUCUUGAGGAAAACCUGAAUAUAAUUUCUAAGGUCUCAGAGAUCCCCUUCCUUUGUAUUACUUGUUGUUGCUGAAAUAAGAGAAAUGGUCGUUUCGUUGGUUGUUCAGCUUGAUGCAUUCCUGAUCACAUUUACUGGGUUACGGUUUUUGUGUAUCUCGAUUUGCUCCACUAUCCAGAUAGAUGUUGAUUAACAUCAGGAAG
Bombus pyrosoma is the source of this 2647-nucleotide long non-coding RNA. RefSeq lists it as uncharacterized. NCBI's taxonomy places the organism in Eukaryota, Metazoa, Arthropoda, Insecta, Hymenoptera, Apidae. The transcript has 4 exons. The record is from RefSeq and is a predicted model, not a curated record.